GACGAACGCUGGCGGCGUGCCUAACACAUGCAAGUCGAACGGAAAGGCCCUGCUUUCGUGGGGUGCUCGAGGGGCGAACGGGUGCGUAACACGUGAGUAACCUGCCCUUGAUUUUCGGGUAACUUCAGGAAACGGGGGCUAAUCUCGGAUAGGAGCUCCUGCACCAUGGUGGGGGUUGGAAAGUCUCGGCGGUUGGGGAUGGACUGGCGGGUUAUCAGCUUGUUGGUGGGGUAGUGGGUUACCAAGGCUGUGGCGGGUAGCCGGCCUGAGAGGGUGACCGGCGACAUUGGGACUGAGGUGCGGCCCAGACUGCUACGGGAGGCAGCAGUGGGGAAGAUUGCACAAUGGGCGGAAGGCUGGUGCAGCAGGGCCGCGUGUGGGAUAGCGGCCUUGGGGGUAUAGACCGCUAGCGCCUGAGACGAAGGGUGAGUGAAGGGAAUGGGUAGAAAAGGACCGGCUAACUACGUG
RNAcentral lists this ribosomal RNA (468 nucleotides) under uncultured bacterium. RNAcentral describes it as "partial 16S ribosomal RNA". It matches the Rfam family "Bacterial small subunit ribosomal RNA", at positions 28 to 507 of the family's 1533-position model. The record is from RNAcentral.